ACGGGCCAAGGGAAAGCCUACCAUGCAGUCGAGGGGUAGAGGAAGCUUGCUUCCUUGAGACCGGCGCACGGGUGCGUAACGCGUAUGCAAUCUGCCUUGUACUGAGGGAUAGCCCAGAGAAUUUGGAUUAAUACCUCAUAGCAUUAUGAAAUCGCAUGGUUUUAUAAUUAAAGUUCCAACGGUACAAGAUGAGCAUGCGUCCCAUUAGUUAGUUGGUAAGGUAACGGCUUACCAAGACGAUGAUGGGUAGGGGUCCUGAGAGGGAGAUCCCCCACACUGGUACUGAGACACGGACCAGACUCCUACGGGAGGCAGCAGUGAGGAAUAUUGGUCAAUGGACGCAAGUCUGAACCAGCCAUGCCGCGUGCAGGAUGAAGCAUCUAUGGUGUGUAAACUGCUUUUGUACGGGAAGAAACACUCCUACGUGUAGGAACUUGACGGUACCGUAAGAAUAAGGAUCGGCUAACUCCGUGCCAGCAGCCGCGGUAAUACGGAGGAUCCAAGCGUUAUCCGGAAUCAUUGGGUUUAAAGGGUCCGUAGGCGGCUUUAUAAGUCAGUGGUGAAAGCCCAUCGCUUAACGAUGGAACGGCCAUUGAUACUGUAGAGCUUGAAUUACUUGGAAGUAACUAGAAUAUGUAGUGUAGCGGUGAAAUGCUUAGAUAUUACAUGGAAUACCAAUUGCGAAGGCAGGUUACUACAAGUGGAUUGACGCUGAUGGACGAAAGCGUGGGGAGCGAACAGGAUUAGAUACCCUGGUAGUCCACGCCGUAAACGAUGGAUACUAGCUGUUCGGAGCAAUCUGAGUGGCUAAGCGAAAG
This 818-nucleotide ribosomal RNA is filed under the name Flavobacterium suncheonense. RNAcentral describes it as "bacterial SSU rRNA". It matches the Rfam family "Bacterial small subunit ribosomal RNA", at positions 33 to 857 of the family's 1533-position model. The record is from RNAcentral. Lineage: Bacteria; Pseudomonadati; Bacteroidota; Flavobacteriia; Flavobacteriales; Flavobacteriaceae.